AACGAACGCUGGCGGCAUGCCUAACACAUGCAAGUCGAACGAGACCUUCGGGUCUAGUGGCGCACGGGUGCGUAACGCGUGGGAACCUGCCUUUAGGUUCGGAAUAACUCAGAGAAAUUUGAGCUAAUACCGGAUGAUGUCUUCGGACCAAAGAUUUAUCGCCUUUAGAUGGGCCCGCGUUGGAUUAGCUAGUUGGUGGGGUAAAGGCCUACCAAGGCGACGAUCCAUAGCUGGUCUGAGAGGAUGAUCAGCCACACUGGGACUGAGACACGGCCCAGACUCUUACGGGAGGCAGCAGUGGGGAAUAUUGGACAAUGGGCGAAAGCAUGAUCCAGCAAUGCCGCGUGAGUGAUGAAGGCCUUAGGGUUGUAAAGCUCUUUUACCCGAGAUGAUAAUGACAGUAUCGGGAGAAUAAGCUCCGGCUAACUCCGUG
Molecule: ribosomal RNA, 433 nt
Filed under: uncultured bacterium
Lineage: Bacteria
Description: partial 16S ribosomal RNA
Rfam family: Bacterial small subunit ribosomal RNA
Source: RNAcentral